ACGCAAAGUGGAAGCAGUACUAGGAAAGCUAAAGUCCAAAGAGUUUCUCCAUACUUGCAGGCAUCAACUAGGAAAAGAUGCAGCAAAGCUCAACCUAAAGUCCGAAAAGUUUCUCCAUACUUCCAGGGAUCAACUGUUCCAGAACAGCCAAGAGAUAUGCGUCAAUACUUUAAGGUCGUGAAAGUUUCUGUUACGUGGCCCAUUUAUGUGAAUGGCAAUUAGAUUAAUGGGCUAGAGUAUGUGGGCUGGGUCAUAAGUCUUUGCCCUAAUCUUUUAGUAACUAGUAUAUAAGGAGGUCUAAGAAUUAGAGAGAAGUUAUCUAGAGAUUAGAUUCAUGUUCAUGGAGAGGUGAGAGUACUCUCAAAGUUAUUUGUAAACACUUUUUAUUAUCUAUAAAAUCAGUAUUUCUAUUGUUCAAUCACUGUGUUACCAAAUCGAUACCUAAAACGUACCAGUUUCAAGAUAUUUCCAUGGCCUGUCUGCCCAAGUAAAUGAAUCACAAAAGGAGAUGAUACCAAGAAGGGUGAGGAAAACUCCUCUUGUGAGCCCUUCUCUGUCUCAGUCUCAGAAGACUGAUGAGGCAUACCUCCGGAAACCGCCUGAUAACACAUGGGUGCCUCCACGAUCUCCAUGUAAUCUACUUCAAGAAGAUCACUGGCAUGAUCCAUGGCGGGUGCUGAUCAUAUGUAUGCUUCUCAACAAAACUUGUGGUGCACAGGUUUGUCCUCAUUCCUCUCCCUUUUCCAUAUCUUUGCGCAACUUAUAUAAUUUUAGUAGAGAGUAGGAAGUGAGACCUAUGUUGGUUUGAAUCUUACUGUCUCAAAAGAAGUAGAUGCAAGUCUUUUUUUUUUAUGAGUAAUUGAUUCAGACGUGACUGGAACUGCUUGCUCUUGUAAGAAGAAAAGGCUUACUUGUGGGUCAGUUGAUUUUUCUAAACGUGAUUGCAAACGCGGGGGGUGAUAUCAGACCUCUUUGCGCUGUGUCCUAAUGCAAAGACUACUACAAAAGUCGAAGAGAAAGAGAUAUAGACUCUGAUAAAGCCUCUUGGACUACAGAAGAAGAGAUCCUAAAUAAUACGACGGUUUUCUCUCGAGUAUCUUCAAGAGAGCUGGACUCAUGUCACUCAACUGCAUGGAGUUGGAAAGUAUGCAGCGGAUGCGUAUGCCAUAUUCUGUAAUGGGAAGUGGGAUUGUGUGAGACCUGAUGAUCAUAUGCUAAACUAUUACUGGGAAUUCCUCAGGAUUCGCUUUAGGUUAUGAGUGGGAAGAAGAUACAUGUAUGUAUUGCGCUGAUAAUAUUUUUCUUUGCUCUGUUUCACAAAUGUUGAAAAGUUGUAAAUGAUAGAUAUCUUAACUUCAUGUUUGUUUAAUCUUGUAUUGUAAUGUCUCUGGUAUCAUAUAUGAGUUCUUUAUGUGUUUAAUAUUUGUCAAA
Molecule: long non-coding RNA, 1431 nt
Organism: Brassica napus (rape)
Lineage: Eukaryota; Viridiplantae; Streptophyta; Magnoliopsida; Brassicales; Brassicaceae
Exons: 2
Source: RefSeq, a predicted model, not a curated record